This 246-nucleotide ribosomal RNA is filed under the name uncultured bacterium. RNAcentral describes it as "partial 16S ribosomal RNA". It matches the Rfam family "Bacterial small subunit ribosomal RNA", at positions 116 to 354 of the family's 1533-position model. The record is from RNAcentral.
CGUGGGUAACCUGCCCAAGAGACUGGGAUAACACCUGGAAACAGAUGCUAAUACCGGAUAACAACACUAGACGCAUGUCUAGAGUUUAAAAGAUGGUUCUGCUAUCACUCUUGGAUGGACCUGCGGUGCAUUAGCUAGUUGGUAAGGUAACGGCUUACCAAGGCAAUGAUGCAUAGCCGAGUUGAGAGACUGAUCGGCCACAUUGGGACUGAGACACGGCCCAAACUCCUACGGGAGGCAGCAGGA